Molecule: ribosomal RNA, 2886 nt
Filed under: human gut metagenome
Description: bacterial LSU rRNA
Rfam family: Bacterial large subunit ribosomal RNA
Source: RNAcentral
UUAAAGUAGUAAGGGCGCAGGGUGGAUGCCUUGGCACUAAGAGCCGAUGAAAGACGUGAUAAGCUGCGAAAAGCUUCGGGGAGGAGCACAUAUCCAUUGAUCCGGAGAUAUCUGAAUGGGGAAACCCGGCAGAGGAAACCUCUGUCAGCAUGUAGUGAAUCCAUAGCUGCAUGUGGGGAACCCGGGGAACUGAAACAUCUAAGUACCCGGAGGAAGAGAAAGAAAAUUUAUCGAUUUCCAAAGUAGCGGCGAGCGAAAUGGAAGGAGCCCAAACCGUGGUGCGUGCAUCACGGGGUUCGGACUGCGACAUGAGAGACGUAAGAUAGGAGAACGGACUGGGAAGUCCGGCCGGAGAGAGUGAAAGCCUCGUAUCCGAAAUCCCAAGUCAUCUAGCAGGAUCCAGAGUAGGACGAGACACGAGAAACCUUGUCUGAAGGAGCGGGGACCACCCCGUAAGGCUAAAUACUUCUUAGUGACCGAUAGCGCAUAGUACUGUGAAGGAAAGGUGAAAAGUACCCCGGGAGGGGAGUGAAAGAGAACCUGAAACCCUGUGUCUACAAGCUGUGGGACCUCUUUAUAUGAGGGACUGCGUACUUUUUGUAGAACGGUCCGGCGAGUUGUGCGUACUGGCGAGGUUAAGGACUUAAGGUCCGGAGCCGAAGUGAAAGCAAGCGUUAAGAGCGCGGUAAGUCAGUGAGUGCAGACCCGAAACCGGGUGACCUAUCCAUGUCCAGGUUGAAGCUUCCGUAAGAGGAAGUGGAGGACCGAACCCACAUCCGUUGAAAAGGGUGGGGAUGAGGUGUGGAUAGCGGAGAAAUUCCAAUCGAACCCGGAGAUAGCUGGUUCUCCUCGAAAUAGCUUUAGGGCUAGCCUCAUGAGAGUCUUAUGGAGGUAGAGCACUGAAUUGCCUAGGGGGCGUCAAAGCUUACCAAAGCAUAUCAAACUCCGAAUGCCAUCAAGAUGAUUCAUGGGAGUCAGACCAUACGAGAUAAGUUGGAUGGUCAAAAGGGAAAGAGCCCAGACCUACAGCUAAGGUCCCAAAGUGCGUGUUAAGUGGAAAAGGAUGUGGGGAUUCUAAGACAACUAGGACGUUGGCUUAGAAGCAGCCAUUCAUUGAAAGAGUGCGUAAUAGCUCACUAGUCGAGAGUCCCUGCGCCGAAAAUGUCCGGGGCUGAAACACGACACCGAAGCUUAGGAAUGUGUAAACAUUGGUAGAGGAGCAUUGCUAGCGGGAUGAAGCCAUACCGAAAGGAGUGGUGGACUGCUAGGAAGAGAGAAUGCCGGAAUGAGUAGCGAGAUGAAGGUGAGAAUCCUUCAGGCCGAAUAUCUAAGGUUUCCAGAGUAAAGCUGAUCUGCUCUGGGUAAGUCGGGACCUAAGGCGAGGUCGAAAGACGUAGUCGAUGGAUAACAGGUUGAAAUUCCUGUACCGCAUAUAAACAGAACUGUGGGGACACAGACAGGGAAUGGAAUCCGGGGAUGGAGAACCCGGAGCAAGCGAGGUAGGAGUAUCAUUGGCAAAACCGUGAUACUGAUCUGAAGACGUGAUGCGUACCGAACAUAAGUAGGGAAGUCCAGGCCCCUGGCUGUCAAGAAAAGCCGCUAUUGUUUUAUAUGUGCCCGUACCGCAAACCGACACAGGUGGAUGAGGAGAGAAUCCUAAGGCCGACGGGAGAAGUAUUGUUAAGGAACUCGGCAAAAUGACUCCGUAACUUCGGGAGAAGGAGUGCCAUGAGAGUGGCCGCAGAGAAAUGGCCCAAGCAACUGUUUAGCAAAAACACAGGUCUAUGCAAAACCGCAAGGUGAAGUAUAUGGGCUGACGCCUGCCCGGUGCUGGAAGGUUAAGGGGAGAGGUUAGCGCAAGCGAAGCUUUGAACUUAAGCCCCAGUAAACGGCGGCCGUAACUAUAACGGUCCUAAGGUAGCGAAAUUCCUUGUCGGGUAAGUUCCGACCCGCACGAAAGGCGUAAUGAUUUGAGCGCUGUCUCGACAAUGCAUCCGGUGAAAUUGAAGUACCAGUGAAGAUGCUGGUUACCUGCGCCAGGACGGAAAGACCCCAUGGAGCUUUACUCCAGCUUGAUACUGGGAUUCGGUAUUGCAUGUACAGGAUAGGUGGGAGGCUAGGAAGUGAUAACGCCAGUUGUCACGGAGCCGCUGUUGGGAUACCACCCUUGCAGUAUUGGAUUUCUAACCAGCGACCAUGAACUGGCCGGGGGACAAUGUCAGGUGGGGAGUUUGACUGGGGCGGUCGCCUCCGAAAGGGUAUCGGAGGCGCUCAAAGGUUCCCUCAGAAUGGUUGGAAACCAUUCGAAGAGUGCAAAGGCAGAAGGGAGCUUGACUGCGACACCGACGGGUGGAGCAGGUACGAAAGUAGGACUUAGUGAUCCGGUGGUAUAAAGUGGGAUUGCCAUCGCUCAACGGAUAAAAGCUACCCUGGGGAUAACAGGCUUAUCACUCCCAAGAGUUCACAUCGACGGAGUGGUUUGGCACCUCGAUGUCGGCUCAUCGCAUCCUGGGGCUGUAGUAGGUCCCAAGGGUUGGGCUGUUCGCCCAUUAAAGCGGUACGCGAGCUGGGUUCAGAACGUCGUGAGACAGUUCGGUCCCUAUCCGGCGUGGGCGUAGGAUAUCUGAGAGGAGCUGUCCUUAGUACGAGAGGACCGGGAUGGACGGACCGCUGGUGUACCGGUUGGCUUGCCAAAGCCAUGGCCGGGUAGCCAAGUCCGGAAGGGAUAAACGCUGAAGGCAUCUAAGCGUGAAGCCCCCCUCAAGAUGAGAUAUCCCAUUCUUAGUGAAGUAAACCCCCUUGAAGACGACGAGGUAGAUAGGGCAGAGGUGGAAGUGUGGUAACACAUGGAGCUGACUGAUACUAAUCGGUCGAGGGCAUGACCAA